UGAUAUUAUGUUUGAACUACAUAAUACAAUUGGUCCGUAGGACUUUAUUCUACUUAGAGUUAUACAAAUUAUAACAUCCAUUAUUACAAUAAAAUAGCUGAUAACAUCAAAUGAGUGAUGCAAAGAUUAUAUGAGAUCUCCAUAUGCGUCUUGGGUGUAUUCCACCAUCAGGUUGUCAAUAUCAAGAAGGUCUUCAUCCUUCUGCCUUGUUUCCUU
Molecule: long non-coding RNA, 216 nt
Filed under: Hordeum vulgare
Lineage: Eukaryota; Viridiplantae; Streptophyta; Magnoliopsida; Poales; Poaceae
Description: long non-coding RNA (HVUL_LNC003405)
Source: RNAcentral